GUGCCAGCAGCCGCGGUAAUUCCAGCUCCAAUAGCGUAUAUUAAAGUUGUUGCAGUUAAAAAGCUCGUAGUUGAACCUUGGGCCUGGCUGGCCGGCCCGCCUCACCGCGUGUACUGGGCCGGCCGUUACUUUCCUUCGGGGCACCCUCCCGCCCUUCGCUGGGCGUGUUGAAAAACCAGGUCUUUUAUUUUAAAAAAAUUAGAGUGUUCAAAGCAGGUCUUUGCUCAAAUACAUUAGGAUGAAAUAAUAGAAUAGGGCGGGUGGUUCUAUUUUGGUGUCUUCGAGCACCGCCGUAAUGAUUAGGAGGGAUAGGCGGGGGCAUCAUUAUUCCAUCGGCAGAGGAGUACUUCUUGGAUUGAUUGAAGACUAACUACUGCGAAAUCUUUCGCCAAGGAUGUUUUCAUUCAUCAGUGAACGAAAGUGAGGGGAUCGAAGACGAUCAGACACCGUCGUAGUCAUCACCCAUAAACUAUGCCGACGAGGGAUCGGAGGGUGUUAGUAUUUUGACCCGGCGCCCUCAUACGAAAAACAAUGUUUGUUGUCUUCUGGGGGGAGGUGCUCGCGAGGCUGAUACUUAAAAUAUAUUGACGGAAGCGCCACCACCGGGCGUGGAGCCUGCGCAUUAUUGUGACUCAACGCGGGAAUACUCAGGGGCGUGAGACACAAGGAGUGAUUGACAGAUUGAGAGCUUCUUUCAUUGAUGUGGUGGGUGGUGGCGCCUGCCUGUUCUUAGGUGAUGGAGUGAUUUGUCUGCUCAAUAACAAAAACGAACGACACCUUAUCUGCUAAAUAGCCCGCCUUGCUGUGGCGCGUCGCCUGCUUCAUAAAUGACUAUCCGCCUCAAGCGGAUGGUAGUUGAAGCCAUACUCUU
This 871-nucleotide ribosomal RNA is filed under the name uncultured fungus. RNAcentral describes it as "bacterial SSU rRNA". It matches the Rfam family "Eukaryotic small subunit ribosomal RNA", at positions 564 to 1460 of the family's 1831-position model. The record is from RNAcentral. Lineage: Eukaryota; Fungi.